GAACAUAAUUCUCGAAAUGGAGGAGUUUCAAUUGGUGUUCCUGGAGAUGACAAGAAAGAUCAUUCAAGGGAAGAUGAUUUGUUGCGAGAGAGUUGGAUGCCGGCGCGGACGAUCCUCUCAAUGGACUCAUUGCAACAUCACAAAGACACAGGCAACGGUGCUACUGCUGAUGGCAGAGAGGAGAUCAACGGCAAGGGAGGCAAGGGAAAAACUGAGGGUCAAAGAGGGUUUACAACUAGGUAUAAAGCUUCAUGAGGACUCAUCUUCUUGGGAUGGAAGAUGAUCAGUUACUGGUGCUUGUGAAUAUCUGCGGAAGUACAGUAGCCUGUAGCUUUGUAGGCGUUGAACUAAAUACCAAUCCAAGUAGGAGCGAAAGGAAGAUAAU
Long non-coding RNA from Triticum dicoccoides, 385 nucleotides. RefSeq lists it as uncharacterized. The record is from RefSeq and is a predicted model, not a curated record. Lineage: Eukaryota; Viridiplantae; Streptophyta; Magnoliopsida; Poales; Poaceae. The transcript has 3 exons.